This is a non-coding RNA of Meleagris gallopavo (turkey), 2412 nucleotides long. Lineage: Eukaryota; Metazoa; Chordata; Aves; Galliformes; Phasianidae. The record is from RefSeq and is a predicted model, not a curated record.
UCCCCCAUCCCACUGGGAAGUGAAAGAGUGAGUGAACAACUGUGUGGUGCUCAGCAAUCUGCCAUGUUAAACCAAAGAAGUCAUUUUGGCACCCAGUGUGGGGCUUGGAGGAAUUGGAGUGACCACAGGAUUGAUUGUGAAUGUCAUGGCACCUGCAGGGCCCGUGAGAAGUGUUAGGGUAACUGUAGGGUAUGUCAAAAAAGUCAGAACAACCGCAGGGCCUGUCACAGGAGUUGGAGCAGCCACAGUGCUCUUUGUAGGGAGUGGGGCAGCCACAGGACUGUAUCUCUGGGCACGUUACAUCUCCCUCAGGAGGAAUUUUUUUCUUUUUCUCAUCGCAAUAUAUGAAACAGACACAGGACCUGUAGCAGGAGCAAUUGCAGUGCUCACUAUGAAGGUUGGAGUGACACUAGGGUCUGUCACAAUGCUCAAAGCAACCAUGGAACCUGUUGCGGGAAUUGGAGUUGCUGCAGUCUGUCAUUGGAAUUGGAGGCUCUGCUGUACUGUUAUCAGAUUCAGAAGUGUUCUCUACCCCUUGAAGAUGCUGAAUAAUGUUGAACAGAAGUUGUUUCCAUGAAAAUACACAGGAGGCAUUAACUUCAGAGCGACCUAUGUAUAUCCAGCCCAAGACAAUUCUUCACGAUUCAGUGCAGCCCAGGCAAGCCAAAAAGUUAGACACCCAUGAGCUUAUCACCCACCCUAUCCUGCCACUAGGCUCUGUUUCUCCUUGCUAGGCACUGAGAGGUCCUGAACAGCAGAGAUCUGCAUCACUUACUAUAUGCAGACCCUCAGCUUUCUUGUUAUGGUCAGGACCUUCCACGCCUGCAGCUUUUUUUAUCUGACAGGAGAAAGACGCUUAGGUUUUGCACAGGCUGACUUAAAUGUGAAAGAGACAGAUAAAGCCCUUUUUAGUCCUAGCCCUUUUGGAAGAUAAUAUUUGUACAUCUUCAAAAGAACGUUCAGAUAUAUAAUGUAACAUAUUUUCUGUUUGCUGUUCAUCCAACAGUGUAGCUAUGACCAGGUGUGCUGUAAUUAAAACAUUAAUAAACCUCGCAUCCUUGAGAUCAUGAGUACUUGGGAUCACCAUUUCCUGGAUGGAGCUGAGGGUACAUAGUUGCUCACAGUAAUCAGCAGUUUUUUUGGUAGUAAGAAGGCUCUACAUGCAGUCAAGGAGCAGAUACAGCAGGAGUCCCACAGUUUCUGGGGGGGAAGGCUGAUGAGGGUGGCCAGGGUCAGACACAGCUAUCCCCAGUGAUGUGGUGAAUCUGGAUGCAGGCAGAAGUCAAGCCUGCACGUCAUAAGAUCUAGCCAGGAACAGGGGAAGCUGCAUAGUAAGCUUGGUGAGGCUCAGCAUGUGGGUUAUGCUGGCAUGCAGCUCCUGAAUCUCUGCUGUGGAGCUAGAGGGGGGAGGCCCUGAUGCCUGCUGCAUGUUGCAUGAGAAAAUUUUCUUUCUACUCCUUCAGUAUUUCUGUCAUUUGCUCUUACUUUUGAGUGACAUUGCUAAAUCAUUUAUCUGUCUGAGCAAUCUUCUAUUACUUAUACGUUUACCCAUUUAUUAAUCUGACUUUGGAUUUGAGCACAUAAGAAUGAAAACUGCAAGCAGAUUUUGAUUGGUUAGACAUGAAUGGCUAAGAUAAAGGGAAUCUGAAGAAGCUUUUAAUACUGUGCAAGUUCAUUUUAAAUAUUUCCUUUAUUUUGUGGUCUGUUGUUUUUGAAAAGCUCUCAUUUGGUUCCAUUGCUCCUGUCUGUGAAGCUGCCAUUGGCUUUGGGAAUAAUCUGGAAUUUCUGAAGAGACUGGCCACAAGGAAAUGUGCUUGUUAUCUUGUAACAUUUAAAUUAGGACAUUUAAAAUGUCCUAAUUCUGAAUUGAUUUUUGAACAAAACUUGCACAGUCUAUCCCAAUAUUAACUUAGAUAAAUAUUUUCAAUACCUUAUAAAAAUUGCUGAUUAGUAAUUACAUGAAGCUUUUAGAAAGAUCUUCAGCUGCUGUAAACAAAUGUAGUUCUGCUGGAGUCUGUUUAACAUCUGUAUCUUUUCCUGUAAUCUUAGAAAUGCAUUUGCAUAGUCAGAAAUCUUGAGGCUUGAAGUGCAUAAUAACACAAGUGACAUGGGAAUUGCCAUAUUAGGUGUUCCUGUUCUAUGGUCAAAAGGUUGAACGAAGUAAUGGACAGGAUCUAAUUUUACUCAUAGCAUCACUUUGUGACAUCCUGAAUAUGAUCAAAGGCACAGUUAUGGUUCAAAACUAACAUGGGGAAGUAAUACGUAAUGUUAAAUUUUGAGCCACUGUUCAGAUGCUAACUGCAAUAUUUUUAUCCCAUUUCAGAGGUGGAAAGCUCAAGGAAAGAAGAGAAAAAAAUUACAUAUAGCUUUACAACAAAACUACAGUAAAAUAAAGUGGAGGUAAGAUACUCA